This 378-nucleotide ribosomal RNA is filed under the name uncultured bacterium. Its description in RNAcentral is "bacterial SSU rRNA". It matches the Rfam family "Bacterial small subunit ribosomal RNA", at positions 521 to 896 of the family's 1533-position model. The record is from RNAcentral.
UAAUACGUAGGGGGCGAGCGUUGUCCGGAUUCACUGGGCGUAAAGGGCGCGCAGGCGGCCGAUUCAGUCCGCCGUUAAAGCCCGCGGCUCAACCGCGGGUGGUCGGCGGGGACGGGUCGGCUCGGAGGCCGGUAGGGGGGCAUGGAAUUCCCGGUGUAGUGGUGAAAUGCGUAGAGAUCGGGAGGAACACCAGUGGCGAAGGCGAUGCCCUGGGCCGGGCCUGACGCUGAGGCGCGAAAGCGUGGGGAGCGAACCGGAUUAGAUACCCGGGUAGUCCACGCCCUAAACGGUGGCCACUAGGUGCGGGGGGUAUCGACCCCUCCCGUGCCGUCGCCAACGCAGUAAGUGGCCCGCCUGGGGAGUACGGCCGCAAGGCUA